UGCCAGCAGCCGCGGUAAUACGAAGGGGGCUAGCGUUGUUCGGAAUAACUGGGCGUAAAGCGCACGUAGGCGGAUUGUUAAGUUAGGGGUGAAAUCCCAGGGCUCAACCCUGGAACUGCCUCUGAUACUGGCAAUCUAGAGUUCGAGAGAGGUGAGUGGAAUUCCAAGUGUAGAGGUGAAAUUCGUAGAUAUUUGGAGGAACACCAGUGGCGAAGGCGGCUUUCUGGACCGAUACUGACGCUGAGACGCGAAAGCGUGGGGAGCAAACAGGAUUAGAUA
RNAcentral lists this ribosomal RNA (279 nucleotides) under uncultured bacterium. RNAcentral's name for it is "partial 16S ribosomal RNA". It matches the Rfam family "Bacterial small subunit ribosomal RNA", at positions 506 to 784 of the family's 1533-position model. The record is from RNAcentral.